UAUAUGUUGAAUGAUGUGAAUACCUACAUAGAAUCCACGGCAUCCGGUUUCUCGCUCUUAGUCAAAUAAAACAAUUUUUUUUUUAAAAAAAAAAAGAAAAGAGAUCCUUUUCCCUUUCUCUUUCCCUUUGUCUCACCCUCUGCCUUCUCUCCACUUCUUCAAGUUCUGACAGACAAGAUUAAUAGCAAGAGCAAGAGAGAUCCUUUUUCUCUUUCUUCACCCCCAUCCUCGAAUUCCUCUCCAUCUCCUCUAGUUCAUGUGGGAUCGAUCUCAAGAGCAUUUGACAAAGAAAGCUCAUCAGAUUCAUCUUUCUCAUCCUCACUCUCACCUUCGGGUUCCUCUUUGCCUCUUCAAGUUUCGGCGAGAUCGAUCUUGAGAGCUUCUGAGAAAAACAACUUGUUGGAUUCCUCUUUUUCUCCUCAAGUUCUAGUAAGAUCGAUCAUGAUCUUGCAAAAAUAGAGCAAAUUCGGUCUCUUAUAACUCUUCGAUCGAUGGUUACAUUAAAAAUUGUGACUUGGAUGAGGCUUAAAAGCUAUUUUGGUCGACACCGGAUCAUGAUCACUUGGUCCUGCUUAUUCAAUGGCUUUGUACGAAAUCGGCUAUUUUGUAGAGAAUGGAGAAGAAAGACUUGAUACAUUGGAAUACUUUCAAGGAUAGGUUGAGGAGGGUGUUCGAUAUUUUGAAAUAAUGAGCUUGAGGUUUGGCAUUAAGAAAAGCUGAUCGAUAUGGAAUUAGACGAUUAUAGGAGGUAUGUGCCUCUAGCACAUUUAUAUGUUGCGGCAUCACAAUGGGACAAGCAUAGAGAUUUGAUGCAACUUAUGAAGACUCGAACCUUGGUUCAAGAUUGUUUAUUUGACUCGGUAGUUGAGACCGGGUCUAUUUUUGACGUUCAAGCAAUUUUUGGGCUCGCACGGUGUUACGUGCGUGCCUUUGUGGACUGAAGGGUAGGGUGCAUCCCCUGCCGAGCUCCUGCGAGUGUUAUGUGCCUGCGGGCAUGCCCACGUUUGCACCCAGGCGGGCACUUGCAAGCAGCAUCUGCUAGCAUAGCACCAGUGAGGUGGGUCGUGGCCCAUUCUUAAGCCUUUUUGAGUCCUUCUUUUUGGUUGUUUGCUACCCUCUUUCUUCCUUCUUCCUUCCCCUUUCUUUCUCCCUUACCUGUGGCAAGUCUUGGAGAAAUAAAGGGGCCUUGUUGAUCUUGUUCUACCAAGUUGGGAGCUCCAAAAUCCAUCCACCUUCUUCCUUGUUUUCUAGAGGCUCUAGCGGCUAGUAGCAUGGUGGCGAGAUGGAGUACUGGGUAUCCACUAGCUUCCUAUCUUUCUUAUUACUAGUAUUGUGUAUGUUUUCAUUGAUCACGAACAUGUCAUUUAAGAAUAUGGAUCCACUAAUAUGUUUGAGCUCUGUUUGUAUGAUUGUUUACUAGUUUAUUUCUUGGAACCCUUGUUGUAUUGGUAGACAGGAUAUUUCCUGAACUCUUCUAUUAGAUUAUUGUUGACGCUUUCCCUAUAUAUCAUGAAUUUGCUAUUAUUGUACUUCUUGUCUUGUAUAUUCUAUACUUGUGACUUUUGGUUCAGGAUUGUGGAAUCCUAGGUUUUCGUCAGCCUUGCGGUGACUCGAGGGUUGAGUGGUGUGGUAUCUCUCCUUGGGUUGUCGCAGCAGUUGUUGCGUCAUGGGGCCCGUGGGUCAGGACGUGACAGUGAUGACAGCUAGCCAGAAAUUGCUUGCAUUUAUGAGGUAUUAGAGGAGAUUGCAAAGCAACUGAAAUUGCAGCCUCAUGUGGAGGAUGAAAACCUUGAGUAUGUUCAUGAAUGAAUGUUCUCUCAGAAUGUUGUUUAUAUUUGCUGUUAACCAUACUAGAUAAUGAUGCGACUAAUGUUUGCAUUGCAAUUUCUUGAUUAUUUAUGCAA
Dioscorea cayenensis subsp. rotundata (Guinea yam) is the source of this 1904-nucleotide long non-coding RNA. RefSeq lists it as uncharacterized. The transcript is spliced from 5 exons. Lineage: Eukaryota; Viridiplantae; Streptophyta; Magnoliopsida; Dioscoreales; Dioscoreaceae. The record is from RefSeq and is a predicted model, not a curated record.